RNAcentral lists this ribosomal RNA (497 nucleotides) under uncultured bacterium. RNAcentral describes it as "partial 16S ribosomal RNA". It matches the Rfam family "Bacterial small subunit ribosomal RNA", at positions 28 to 507 of the family's 1533-position model. The record is from RNAcentral.
GAUGAACGCUGGCGGCGUGCCUAAUACAUGCAAGUCGAGCGAACAGAUGAGGAGCUUGCUCCUCUGACGUUAGCGGCGGACGGGUGAGUAACACGUGGAUAACCUACCUAUAAGACUGGGAUAACUUCGGGAAACCGGAGCUAAUACCGGAUAAUAUAUUGAACCGCAUGGUUCAAUAGUGAAAGACGGUUUUGCUGUCACUUAUAGAUGGAUCCGCGCCGCAUUAGCUAGUUGGUAAGGUAACGGCUUACCAAGGCAACGAUGCGUGGCCGACCUGAGAGGGUGAUCGGCCAAACUGGAACUGAGACCCGGUCCAGACUCCUACGGGAGGCAGCAGUAGGGAAUCUUCCGCCAUGGGCGAAAGCCUGACGGAGCAACGCCGCGUGAGUGAUGAAGGUCUUCGGAUCGUAAAACUCUGUUAUUAGGGAAGAACAAAUGUGUAAGUAACUAUGCACGUCUUGACGGUACCUAAUCAGAAAGCCACGGCUAACUACGUG